CUUCACCAUUCUUUCACGGUUACACCCUUUCUCUACUUAAUUAAGAUCAAUUCAAAUCAUACGGCAUCCACACUUCAAAACGAACAACGAAGACAUUUCUAUAGGCUCGGGGAACCAUGGUCACACCUUAAGCACUAGGCUAAAGGUGAUGUCAUUUUGAAGCGAUGAGUCAUUCCAAAGACAAAGAUCGCUUCGAAAGGGUGCCCGAUGACCAAAUGUUUGGGUGACAUGCUCGCGAUUUCGAAGACAUGGAAGAUUUCUUGAAAUUAAGAAAUCUUAGGGCGACAUGCUCGCGAUACAGAAAUGCCCUUAUGAACCGUGAUAUUUUGAGGCUAUACAAUCUAUAUGGUGCUCCUCAAUAUGCAAUUUUACACAUGACAAUGACCAGGGAGUUCCAACUAUUUAGGACGUUACUGUGUCUAAGAAGAUGACGAGAGUGUGAUGGUCUUUUGGGUUUGGCUCAAUGAUGCAAACGAGGAAGAUGUUAUAUUUGGGAAUAUUGAACUACUAAGGUCUUUGGUUGUAACAUCAUAUUCGGUUAUAUAGGACAUGGAUUUGUGAUUUACAACAUGUGGACUAUGAGGAUGAAUAGAAUCAACUAUCAGUUUGCUUC
This is a long non-coding RNA of Helianthus annuus (common sunflower), 613 nucleotides long. RefSeq lists it as uncharacterized. The record is from RefSeq and is a predicted model, not a curated record. NCBI's taxonomy places the organism in Eukaryota, Viridiplantae, Streptophyta, Magnoliopsida, Asterales, Asteraceae. The transcript has 3 exons.